RNAcentral lists this ribosomal RNA (382 nucleotides) under uncultured bacterium. RNAcentral describes it as "partial 16S ribosomal RNA". It matches the Rfam family "Bacterial small subunit ribosomal RNA", at positions 138 to 507 of the family's 1533-position model. The record is from RNAcentral.
UGGGGAUAGCCCCAGCGAAAAUUUUGGGAUUAAUACCGCCAUAGUAUACAGAUUCAGCAUUGGGACUGUAGUUAAACAUUUAUGGGUAAGAGAUGGGCAUGCGUUCUAUUAGUUAGUUGGAGUGGUAACGGCACCCCCAAGACAGCGAUAGAUAGGGGGCCCUGAGAGGGGGGAUCCCCCCACACUGGUACUGAGACACGGACCAGACUCCUACGGGAGGCAGCAGUGAGGAAUAUUGGACAAUGGGCGAGAGCCUGAUCCAGCCAUGCCGCGUGCAGGAAGACGGCCCUAUGGGUUGUAAACUGCUUUUGUACGGGAAGAAACCACCCCCUCGUGAGGGGGCUUGACGGUACCGUAAGAAUAAGGAUCGGCUAACUCCGUG